GUCGCUGCCCCAUGCCGAGACGCUGCUCUUCUCUCUCGCUCCUGCCGGCGCCUCCAUGCUUCCUCCGCGCACCUUCUCUUCUACUCCCACUCGCCGGCGCCGCCGCUUAUUGUCCUUCCCUCCCGUCGCAUGCGGCAGCGAGAGGGCGAGGUCAAAGGCCGGAUUUUUUGCCGCUGGUCACAGAUCCGUGGGUGGCGUUGCUUGAUCUGCUCCCCGACGGCACCUACACGCUACGUAUCGCCCUGGAGGCGGCGCAAAUGUCCAGGCUGCAGGUGGAGGUGAACGGGGCGACGAGAAAGGGGUCUGAGGGAGUCUUCAACACGCCCAAGUUCGGCAACGGCAGCGCCAUCGCGCUGCACGGCGACCACGGCAUGUGGUGAAGCUUCGAGUUCCCCAUCAAGUGGUACCUGCUCAUGGAAGGGGAGAACACGAUCAGCAUCACGCAGAUCAGGGCCUUCUAGUUGUUGUAUCUUUUCGAUAUCUGCAGCAACACGGCUCAAUACUUACAGGCUCAUAUGGAUUAUUUGUCUUCUCAGUAAGCUGCAAAGAGGUGCUAUUAUAGAGCUGUUGUGCAGAGAGGUGGUGCUGACGGGACAAGCCCUUCAAGAAUGAUAGCGGAAAUUUAGAAUUUUUGCUAUUCUUUUUCUUGACUUGUCCAAGCUGUAAUGACAGCAAAAAUUCAUGAAGUGUGCAUUGACAUGAAGCCACCCAGGUUGUUUAUGAUAUAAGGCUGUGAAGAUUUGGCUAAUGGAGAUAAAAGAGCAACAGGAUGCUCUGCCAAAGCUAAUCAUGCCCUCCUUGGAUAUGACUUCAAGAAGGUCGAACUGUCGAAGCACUUGACAGGUUGACUAAAAUCAAGAUCUGGAAGCACCAUUUUUCUUGUGGCGCGACAGGUUCGCGGCUCAACAACCUUGGGAACAGGCGGAACUGCCAGCGAGCUGAGACAGAGCUUGCCAAGGAGAUGAGACAGUGCUGCUGGCGAGAAGACGAUGUUGCCGGCGAGCUGUGCCGGAGCGGCCAGCGAGAAGCCUGGAAGUGCCCCGAGCGUGGAGGUGCUAGCUAUGGUCCUGGGCGUUGCCGGCGGUAUGGUGCUCUGCUCGGUGGGUGCUGAGCAUGCGUGGCGGCCGGCAUGGCGCUUCUGUUGGGGGCUUACGGCCGGCCUCCGUGAGGUUUGCCGAUGGAUUCCGGCGGCGGCGCGCAGAUGGAUUGGAUUCAGCUGGCUUGACGCUCGCUUGGAUCGAUUCGGUUCUGCUGGUUUGAGGCGCGUCCGUCAGAUGGAUUCAGUUCAGCUGGCUUGAGGCUCGCGCGCGGAUGGAUCCUGCAGGUGACGGAGGUGAUGGCUGGGGCGUUGGGGGCGGAGCCGCGGAGGACGAGGACGCUGGGAUCUGGAUCGAGAUCCAUGAAGACGAAGCUCGGAUCGGGAACAAUGUUAGACAGGGGUAGAGAUGUCUUUUCGCACGUUUUCACCUGGUCGGAAAAAUCCCAGAACGUCUUAUAUUUUUGAACGGAGGGAGUAUAAAAAAAUAGUCCGGUGGCGAACCUCUGACCAGCAGACCAGUUCCGAUCGAGACGAUUCGUUUCUCUCACAUGGCUGCAUGGCAGUACGACACCGCGCCGGUACGUGCAUGCUUCUAGAAUCUAUGCGAACAUUUGAACAGAGUAUUUG
Molecule: long non-coding RNA, 1666 nt
Organism: Lolium rigidum
Lineage: Eukaryota; Viridiplantae; Streptophyta; Magnoliopsida; Poales; Poaceae
Exons: 4
Source: RefSeq, a predicted model, not a curated record